GACGAAGGAUGCAAGCGUUAUCCGGAUUCAUUGGGUUUAAAGGGAGCGUGGGUGGCCUUAUAAGUCAGUGGUGAAAUCUCUGGGCUUAACCCAGAAAUUGCCAUUGAUACUGUAGGGCUUGAGUAUAGUUGCCGUUGGCGGAAUAUGACAUGUAGUGGUGAAAUACAUAGAGAUGUCAUAGAACACCGAUUGCGAAGGCAGCUAACGAAACUAUAACUGACACUGAGGCUCGAAAGUGCGGGGAUCAAACAGG
Molecule: ribosomal RNA, 253 nt
Filed under: uncultured bacterium
Lineage: Bacteria
Description: partial 16S ribosomal RNA
Rfam family: Bacterial small subunit ribosomal RNA
Source: RNAcentral